Molecule: ribosomal RNA, 293 nt
Filed under: uncultured Bacteroides sp.
Lineage: Bacteria; Pseudomonadati; Bacteroidota; Bacteroidia; Bacteroidales; Bacteroidaceae
Description: partial 16S ribosomal RNA
Rfam family: Bacterial small subunit ribosomal RNA
Source: RNAcentral
AUGCAAGUCGAGGGGAAACGACAUCGAAAGCUUGCUUUUGAUGGGCGUCGACCGGCGCACGGGUGAGUAACGCGUAUCCAACCUGCCCACCACUUGGGGAUAGCCUUUCGAAAGAAAGAUUAAUAUCCGAUGGUAUAUUUUCUCCGCAUGGUGAGAAUAUUAAAGAAUUUCGGUUAUCGAUGGGGAUGCGUUCCAUUAGUUUGUUGGCGGGGUAACGGCCCACCAAGACCACGAUGGAUAGGGGUUCUGAGAGGAAGGUCCCCACAUUGGAACUGAGACACGGUCCAAACUCC